UGCAUCAUUGUGUGCCUAAAAAGCCC
RNAcentral lists this non-coding RNA (26 nucleotides) under Homo sapiens (human). Lineage: Eukaryota; Metazoa; Chordata; Mammalia; Primates; Hominidae. The record is from RNAcentral.